GGCAGGGUAGCAAAGUGGUCUAAUGCAGCGGCCUUAAGCCGGACGUGAGACGUCCAGGAAGCCAUCCGCCAUUCGCGGGUUCGAACCCCGUCCUUGCCA
Molecule: transfer RNA, 99 nt
Filed under: Malassezia globosa
Lineage: Eukaryota; Fungi; Basidiomycota; Malasseziomycetes; Malasseziales; Malasseziaceae
Also listed under: 1 other name
Description: tRNA-Leu
Rfam family: tRNA
About the family: Transfer RNA (tRNA) molecules are approximately 80 nucleotides in length. Their secondary structure includes four short double-helical elements and three loops (D, anti-codon, and T loops).
Source: RNAcentral